RNAcentral lists this ribosomal RNA (497 nucleotides) under uncultured bacterium. RNAcentral's name for it is "partial 16S ribosomal RNA". It matches the Rfam family "Bacterial small subunit ribosomal RNA", at positions 28 to 507 of the family's 1533-position model. The record is from RNAcentral.
GAUGAACGCUGGCGGCGUGCCUAAUACAUACAAGUCGAGCGAACAGACGAGGAGCUUGCUCCUCUGACGUUAGCGGCGGACGGGUGAGUAACACGUGGAUAACCUACCUAUAAGACUGGGAUAACUUCGGGAAACCGGAGCUAAUACCGGAUAAUAUAUUGAACCGCAUGGUUCAAUAGUGAAAGACGGUUUUGCUGUCACUUAUAGAUGGAUCCGCGCCGCAUUAGCUAGUUGGUAAGGUAACGGCUUACCAAGGCAACGAUGCGUAGCCGACCUGAGAGGGUGAUCGGCCACACUGGAACUGAGACACGGUCCAGACUCCUACGGGAGGCAGCAGUAGGGAAUCUUCCGCAAUGGGCGAAAGCCUGACGGAGCAACGCCGCGUGGGUGAUGAAGGUCUUCGGAUCGUAAAACUCUGUUAUUAGGGAAGAACAAAUGUGUAAGUAACUAUGCACGUCUUGACGGUACCUAAUCAGAAAGCCACGGCUAACUACGUG